Molecule: RNA transcript, 3564 nt
Organism: Oryza sativa Japonica Group (Japanese rice)
Lineage: Eukaryota; Viridiplantae; Streptophyta; Magnoliopsida; Poales; Poaceae
Gene name: ATP-dependent DNA helicase Q-like SIM
Source: RefSeq, a predicted model, not a curated record
CGCGCGAUUCGAAACCAAAAACGAAACCCUCGCCGCCGGGGCCAUCCCAAUCCUCGCGGCGAGCGGCGGCGGCGGCGGCGGCGGCGGAGGGCAACCGAUUGUGGCCGGUCUAUCCUCGUCGGCUCGCCAUUCCUUCUCGCCGCGCCAGGUUCGAUCUGACCAAUUCCCCAAGAAUCGUUCGACCUGAAUCGAUCGACGCCGCGUGUUCCUGCCAUUUCGGCGUGCUUGAUUCCCUCAAAAUGGUUUUGGUCUAGGGAUCGUGCUUAGCUAUUGGUGGCGGUGCUCCUCUAGCGGCGGGUUCUCGACGGCAGAAUAGUGCGUUGUGAGGGAGCCUCGGUUUAGUUGGUUCUGGGGAUGGAGGACGGCGCCGCGGGGGGCGAUGUGUCCGCCGACCGUGUCAUCGCUGAGUUGCUCGACAUGGGGUUCGAGUUCGACGAGAUCAGCCGAGCGAUCGGUGCAGUCGGCACGCGCUGCGCCGAUGUGCUGGAGUUUAUGCUGGGUGGUUCAGGCAAUGGGAAAAUGAAAAAGGCGAGUAGGGAAACACGAAGCCGUAGUUGUGUCUCAUCUAAUGCAGAAGCACGCCCGAGUGAUGAUGGGAACAAAUUGGUUAAUCCUAGGAAAAGAUUAAAGCAAUCGAGCAUUACCGAUCAUCUUGCAUCGAAUACCGGCUGCAGAAGGGGAUCUUGUGGUGAGAAAGCUAGCACGUCAUAUCCCUGUUUAGCGGCUUCCGAUGAUCCUAGAGCGCCAGUGGCAGUCAGUGCUGAUGUGUGUUCUGCAUUGAAGCCUGAAUCUCAAUUUUUGCUUGCUAAUUCAAGAAGUGAGUCUGACCUCGGACACAAAAUUAGUGCUGUUCUGCGGAAACACUUUGGAUUUUCCUGUGUGAAAGGAUUCCAAAAGGAAGCUUUGGAUGCUUGGUUUGCUCACAAGGAUUCUCUUGUUCUAGCAGCAACAGGCUCAGGAAAAUCCCUUUGUUUUCAGAUCCCGGCUCUUCUGACUGCAAAGGUUGUGGUAGUGAUUUCACCAUUGAUUAGUCUAAUGCACGAUCAAUGUCUAAAACUUGCAAAGCAUGGGAUAUCUGCAUGCUUUCUUGGUUCAGGGCAACCUGAUAGCCGUGUUGAGGGCAAAGCAAUGUCUGGCAUGUAUAAGAUUAUUUAUGUUUGCCCUGAGACAGUAUUAAGGCUUAUGGAACCAUUGAAGAAACUUGCAGAAAAGCCAGGGAUUGCACUUUUUGCUAUCGAUGAGGUUCACUGUGUUUCUAAAUGGGGUCAUGAUUUUCGACCGGACUAUAGGAGAUUAUCUGUGCUUCGAGAAAAUUUCAGUGCAAGCAAAUUGAAGUUCUUGGAGCAUGAUAUUCCUUUGAUGGCAUUGACUGCUACUGCUACCAUCCCCGUAAGAGCAGACAUUAUCAAGUCGCUGAAAAUGUCAGAAGAUACAGUGGUCGUCUUGACAUCUUUUUUCCGGCCUAAUCUCAGAUUCAGAGUAAAGCACAGUAGGACCUCAGUCUCAGCUUACAAAAAGGACUUCAGAGAACUUGUAGUAACAUAUAAUGAUUCAAGGAAUUUUAGGGGGAAGGGACAGAAAGCUCUUAGUGAGAUCAACCCUGAUUCUGAAAGCAGUUCAUAUGAGUCUCCGGAUGAUGCUAUGUCAGAUGAUGAAGAUGCAAAUGUUGAUUCCAUGAGCCAUGAAGAUAAUAGUUUUGGAAAAACUAAAGUCGGCAUGCCCUUGAUAAAUGAAAAUGCUGAAAAUGAGUUGGAUGUAUAUCCAGGAGUAGAUGAUUUUGAUGUUACAUGCGGAGAGUUCCUUGAGUGCUCGUGGCCUGAGAACUCUGCAUCUUCUUCUCAAUGCAACAAAACUGGUUCCAGUUCCUCAGAAAUUGCUGAUCAAGGUCCUACCAUUAUUUACGUACCCACCAGGAAACAAACUGUGGAGUUAGCAAACUAUUUGUGCAAAACUGGUCUCAAAGCUGCAGCAUAUAAUGCGAAGAUGCCUAAAUCACAUUUGAGACAGGUGCAUCAACAGUUUCAUUGCAAUGCCUUGGAGGUUGUGGUGGCUACCAUAGCAUUUGGCAUGGGAAUUGACAAAUCAAAUGUCAGGAGAAUUAUUCACUAUGGUUUCCCACAGAGUUUGGAAGCAUAUUAUCAAGAAGCUGGCCGUGCUGGUAGAGAUGGGAAGUUGGCGGAUUGCACUCUAUAUUGUAACCUUUUGAGAGCACCGACACUCCUUCCUAAUAAAAGAAGCAAGGAACAGACAAAAGUAGCAUACAGAAUGCUACGUGAUUGCUUUCAUUAUGCUUUGAACACUUCAAUUUGUAGAGCCAAAAUAUUAGUAAAGUACUUCGGGGAGGAAUUUGGUCCUGAUGGAUGCCGCAUGUGUGACAUCUGUAUUAAUGGCCCUCCUCAAAUGCAUGAUUUCAAGGAAGACGCAGUUAUGUUUAUGAGUGUGCUCCAAGCUCAAAACCAUAUCUUAAUAAAUCCAGGGACAAGCAACGGAAGAUAUGGGUUGCAGCAAUAUACCCCGUUAUAUAUCUGGAAGGCAAAGGUUUGGGGAGGUUCCGAAUUUCAGAGGGGUGGUCAGUUAUAUAAGGGAAAAGUUUCCUAGAUUUGCCACAACUGACAAGGUAUGGUGGGAAGGCCUUGCUCGCAUAUUAGAAGGCAGGGGAUACAUACAAGAAGCUGCUGAAAUUCCUCGUGUUUUAAUCCAGUAUCCUGAGGUGACAGAGGCCGGACUGAACUUUUUGAGUAUGCAAUCAGAAGAGGAAGGUUUAUAUGAAUACCUUAAUGCUGCUAUGCUAUUGGUAAUGAAUGACCCAAAACCUAUUUCUACAUCUUCCGAGUGGGGCAGGGGUUGGGCAGAUCCUGCGAUACGCCGCCAGCGUCUAGCAGGCAAGAAAAUGGGGAGAAGAAAAGGAAAGAGGCAUUCUCGGAGCCACUCUACAGGUUUCACCACUGCAAGACAGAGAUUAGCUGAAAUACUCUCAAAACGCAGAAGAUAAUACAGAAACUAUUGAGAUGCUGGGAUAGCGGGAUGAAAAUUAUUCAUCUAAGCCUGUUACUACUUGUUUGGUUUUAGCUUGAUUUACACAGCUUCUGUGGUUAUUUGCUGCAAUUUCCUUUGUGGCGUAUGAAUUUUUUUUCUCAAGGGAACAAUAUGAAGUAAAAAAAUGAUGGGGAUUAUUGUAUAGCACUGUUUUGGCUACCCAUCUGAACAUUGACACUCCAUCUGAACAAGAAUUUCCUGAUGUGAUUUUAAGGAGGUACAGUUCCGUUCCCAGAUAUUAUUGCCCAAGGCUGAUUCAUCUGAACAGUGAUGGCAUCACAUCAGUUUUCACAUCAAAUCCCCGUAGGGUUUUGUCAACAAUGUUCACUCUCACUUGUGAUCUUUUCAACCAACAGGUGGAUCUGUGUGGAUCCUGGAGUGCCAAACUGGAACUUGUUUUUCCCAAUGGAUGGUCCAGUUAACUCCAAGUGUUAGGAAGAUAUAUCUGACAAGGUGAUUGUGUUGUAUACUGUUUUCAUACUGUUCACUUGCCUGAAAUGAAAAAUUGUUUGGCGCAGAGCUGCUAAA